This 195-nucleotide signal recognition particle RNA is filed under the name Lachnospira sp. RNAcentral describes it as "signal recognition particle sRNA large type". It matches the Rfam family "Bacterial large signal recognition particle RNA", at positions 65 to 247 of the family's 256-position model. From Rfam's summary of the family: The signal recognition particle (SRP) is a universally conserved ribonucleoprotein involved in the co-translational targeting of proteins to membranes. Archaeal SRP consists of a 7S RNA and homologues of the eukaryotic SRP19 and SRP54 proteins. In most bacteria, the SRP consists of a 4.5S RNA and the Ffh protein (a homologue of the eukaryotic SRP54 protein). The record is from RNAcentral. Lineage: Bacteria; Bacillati; Bacillota; Clostridia; Lachnospirales; Lachnospiraceae.
UUCGGCAGAGGGCUGAUAUUUAUGGAGCAGCCCGGUGUAAGUGGUGUUGACAUUUGGGUCUUUCACGACGGAAAUCCACGAACCAUGUCAGGUCAGGAAUGAAGCAGCAUUAAGUGGAACCUUCCGGGUGUUGAAAGGGUGCCUGGAUCGAGCUAACUGCAUCGGUAACGUCUGUGGAUAUCAGUUCGAAGCCGG